This 433-nucleotide unclassified non-coding RNA is filed under the name soil metagenome. Its description in RNAcentral is "partial contains 5.8S ribosomal RNA, internal transcribed spacer 2, and large subunit ribosomal RNA". The stretch from base 1 to 120 matches the Rfam family "5.8S ribosomal RNA", at positions 35 to 154 of the family's 154-position model. The record is from RNAcentral.
GAUGAAGAACGCAGCGAAAUGCGAUACGUAAUGUGAAUUGCAGAAUUCAGUGAAUCAUCGAAUCUUUGAACGCAUAUUGCGCUCUCUGGUAUUCCGGAGAGCAUGCUUGUUUGAGUAUCAGUAAACACCUCAACUUCCAUAUCUUUUUUGAAAUGGGAGUUCGACUUGAGUGAUCCCAACGCUUUUCCUCACCGAAAAGUGGCGGGUUACUUGAAAUGCAGGUGCAGCUGGACUUUUCUCUGAGCUAUAAGCAUAUCUAUUUAGUCUGCCUAAAAAACAGAUUAUUACCUUUGCUGCAGCUAACAUAAAGGAGAUUAGUUCUUGUGCUGACUGAUGCAGGAUUCACAAAGACAGGCUUCGGCCGACUUUGUAAACUCGAUCUCAAAUCAAGUAAGACUACCCGCUGAACUUAAGCAUAUCAAUAAGCGGAGGA